UGACGUUCCAAGUUAGCUGUCUCUCUUUCUGCCUCUGGCUUGUGGGUCGGAUGUAAGCUGUCAGCCUGGCUGCCUGCUACUGUGCUCAGCCAUGGUGGUUAUGGACUUACCCUCUGAAACUGUGGAGAUGUGUCUGGCAUGCAUUCUGGUCAUGCCAUGCUACCAGGCUGACCUUCCAAAUCCACAAGAUGCUUCUCAGUUUCAGGAGGACCCAUUUAUUAAUUGUCAAUAUCAGUGUCUGUGCUACAGGUGUAAUGUUCAGGAAGCUGUCUCCUGUACCAAUUCAUUCAAGGGUACUUCUGCUCCUACAGCUGAUAAACACAUUCAGCAAAGUGGAAGAAUACAAGAUUAACUCAAAAAAAUCAAUAGCCCUACUACAUACAGAUGAUAAGAGGGCUGAGAAAGAAAUCAGAGAAACAUCACCCUUUACAAAUAGCCACAAACAACAUAAAAUAUCUUGGGGUAACACUAACCAAACAAGUGAAAGACCUGUAUAACAAGAACUUUGAGUCUCCAAAGAAAGAAAUUAAUGGAAAGAUAGUAAAAAUGGCAAUCUUACCAAAAGCAAUCUACAAAUUCAAUGCGAUCCCCAUCAAAAUCCCAGCACAAUUCUUCACAGACCUUGAAAGAACAAUACUCAAUUUUAUAUAGAGAAACAAAAGACCCAAUUAGCCAAAACAAUCCUUUAGAAUAAAGAAACGCCUGGAGGCAUCAUCAUCCUUGACUUCAAGCUCUAUUAUAGAGCUAUAGUCCUGAAAACAGCUUGGUAUUGGCACAAAAAUAGACUGGUAGACCAAUGGAAUAGAAUUGAAAACCCUGAUAUUAACUCACAUACUUAUGAACACCUGAUUUUUGACAAAUACGCUAAAAUAUACAAUAGAAGAAAGAAAGCAUCUUCAACAAAUGGUGCUGGCCUUACUUUCACUUUAUGCAGCACACUUUGUUUUCUCUUUCUUUUCAGAUUUUUCUGAAAUCUGUUUCAGAUUCUUGUUGUCUUUUCACUGACGUUUCUCUUCAGAAGUUAUGAAAGACCCCCGGAGAGGUUCUUUCGUGGAAGAAGACCCACACCCAGGAAUCAGCGAAACCACGAACUUUGGAUUCCAGGAAUGGUCAUCUGUAUAUUGGAAGGCUCUGGCAGCUGCUUAACUCCUGG
This 1153-nucleotide long non-coding RNA is filed under the name Cricetulus griseus (Chinese hamster). RNAcentral's name for it is "lncRNA (ENSCGRG00015041070.1)". The record is from RNAcentral. Lineage: Eukaryota; Metazoa; Chordata; Mammalia; Rodentia; Cricetidae.